CCCUCCCCCGGGGACCGCAGCGGGCUGGAGGCGCUGCUGGUGUCAGAGCCCUGCGAAAGCUGGCAGUUCCGCGGCGGGGAUGCCGAGCAGCGCGGUGUCCGCCAGCAGCUCUCGCCACUGAGGACUUCAGAGGCGUCCCAGGCCCUGAAGACCCGCGCGCCGCGGCCAACCCUAGGCUUCCGAGUCCACUCGCCGCUCCAGAAGCCCGGCGCGAGGAGAGUCCGGCGAGGCAGCGGCCGUUCCUGGACUCUGGGCUUUGGGAGCGUCUGGAGCCCGGAGAGACACCCCGGCUUCUAGAACCUCCCCAGCGGCCCCCGGUCCCGGCUUCCUGCGGGCGUCCGGCCACAAACCCCUCCGGUGCCCGGGUCGGCGGCCAGCCGCGCCUGGGUCCUGGCGCACACCAUGAUCGUUGCGGACUCUGAAUGCCGCACGGAGCUGAAGGGCUACCUGCCGUUCUCCCGGGGCGGCGGCGGCGGCGGCGGCAGCAGCAGCAGCAGCAGCAGCCCGGGGGCCGGAGAGGAGCAGAGGAUGAGGUGGGCUCGGGGAGGCCCUCGAGGACCCAGCGCCUUCAUCCCAGUGGAGGAGGACGGGAGGGGAACCCAUCCUCUCCUCACCUUUGCUUGGCAGGUCCUACGGGAGGGAGCUGAGAGCCUCGAGCAGAACCUGGGGCUGGAGGCACUGAUGUCCUGUGGGCGUGUGGACAACCUGGCAGUGGUGAUGGGCCUGCACCCCGACUACCUUAGCAGAUUCUGGCGCCUGCACUACCUCCUGCUGCACACAGAUGGGCCCCUGGCCAGCUCCUGGCGCCACUACAUUGCCAUCAUGGCUGCUGCCCGCCACCAGUGUUCCUACCUGGUGGGCUCCCACAUGGCCGAGUUUCUGCAGACUGGCGGUGACCCUGACUGGCUGCUUGGCCUCCACCGUGCCCCUAAGAAGCUGCGCAAGCUUAAUGAGAUCAACAAGUUGCUGGCACAUCGCCCAUGGCUCAUCACCAAGGAGCAUAUCCAGGCCUUGCUGAAGACGGGUGAGCAUAGCUGGUCCCUGGCUGAGCUCAUCCAGGCCCUGGUCCUGCUCACCCACUGUCACUCACUGGCCUCCUUCGUGUUUGGCUGUGGCAUCCUCCCUGAGGGGGACCCGGAGGGCAGCCCUGUACCCCAGGCACCUUCACCCCCCAGCGAGCGAAGCAGCCCCCCCAGCAGAGACUCACUGAACAAUUCUGGGGGCUUCGAGGCUGCCCGAGACGUGGAGGCUUUGAUGGAACGCAUGAGGCAGCUGCAGGAGAACCUGUUGCGGGAUGAGGGAGCGUCUCAGGAAGAGAUGGAGAGCCGCUUUGAGCUGGAGAAGUCGGAGAGCUUGCUGGUGACCCCCUCGGCUGACAUUCUGGAGUCCUCUCCACACCCAGACAUGCUGUGCUUUGUAGAAGACCCCACUUUCGGAUAUGAGGACUUCACCCGGCGAGGGACGCAGGCGCCCCCUACCUUCCGUGCCCAGGAUUAUACCUGGGAAGACCAUGGCUACUCCCUGAUCCAGAGGCUUUACCCGGAGGGUGGGCAGCUGCUAGAUGAGAAGUUCCAGGCAGCCUACAGCCUCACCUACAACACCAUGGCCAUGCACAGCGGAGUGGACACCUCCAUGCUCCGCAGGGCCAUCUGGAACUACAUCCACUGCGUCUUUGGCAUCAGGGUGGGGCUGGAAGAGAGGAGCUCGUUCUGGAAGCUGAGUGAUGCUGUUGUGCCUUUUCAUCUAGGUAUGAUGACUAUGACUACGGGGAGGUGAACCAGCUCCUGGAGCGGAACCUCAAGGUCUAUAUCAAGACAGUGGCCUGCUACCCAGAGAAGACCACCCAGAGAAUGUACAGACUCUUCUGGAGGCACUUCCGCCACUCAGAGAAGGUCCACGUGAACUUGCUGCUUCUGGAGGCCCGCAUGCAAGCUGCCCUGCUCUAUGCCCUCCGUGCCAUCACCCGCUACAUGACCUGACUCCCACACAGGCCCCGGGCCCGGAGCAGCUAACUCUCGGGCAUCCUCCUCUGCAGGAACUUUUCUGUCUGGAGACAGACCCGAUCCCUUUCUGUCCCACGCCCACCCACCACACUCGGGGGGUGGGCUUUUGUGUGAGGUGCAGCCCCCAAGCCACACCCUACAUUUUCUCACUGGAAUGGACAGGAUCUCUGGGAUCUCAGCUGUGGCCCUGGGAGCUGGAAGAGGACUAGCAGAUCUGCAGGGGCCCUCUUCCUGCCCCUGAACCCAGAGGCAGAAGGCACAGGAAGUAAAUGGGCUGAAUUCGGAUUUAUGUACCUCCAGGUGGGGCCCACCACAAGGACUGUGGCCUUCCUGGACUGGAAAGGUCCCCGGCUGGCCCCUGAGGGAGAGGGGCCAACACCUGCAGGGACUGACACUCCAAGCAGCUUUCCUUUUCCUCCAUCAUUCUCAUUUCAUUACCUCUCACCUGCCAUUAACCCAUCAAUGUGAAAGUCGGGGUCACAGCUGGUCUGUGCAUCCGGCUCCCCAAAGACCUGUUCAGUUGGGCAGCCUGAAGGCCCCUUGUUUCCUGAUUGCCCCAAUCCUAUUUCAUUUCCUUUGACCUCCUCUGACCUCCCACCCUUUCCUCCGACACCUGGUGGUGUGAGGCCCCAGAAGAGAGACCAAGCACAUCAAAAAAGUAGAUGAUCUCUAGAGAAUUUGAGUAGCUUUGAGGGUCACUUUGCCUUUUGAAGUGUAGGGAGUAUUAGAUAUUAAAUUCUCUGUAUUUUGGUCCUUUGUGGAUGAAGUCCAGACCUCUCCAGGGCCUCACCUUUAGAGCCACAGUCAGUGGCUGUGAGGAGGAGGACGGGGCAAUCUUCUCCCCAGAGCUUGGCCUCUCCUGUCUCCUGAGCUCUGCUGCAGAUAUUUGCCAAAAACUUGAUCCUUUCUAGGUGGCCCAUGGCCCAGCGGGAGAGAUGGGAGACCCCAGGGUUGCUUGGGCCCUGCCACUGGCCCGGUGACCAUGGCUAUGUUGCCAAACCUCCUUGACCCCGAUUUCCUGGGUUUCAGACUAAGGGGAGGGGAUACUUUCCAUGCCUGAGUCUUCACUCUGGGUGUCUCAGGCCAACCUGCCAGCAGUGAACUGCAAAUGGUGCAGGAUUUUGAAGGCCUCCGGGGACUCCCACUCUUGCGGUCAGUCUCCCGGCUGCCUUCCAAGGACCACCCAGAUUCUGUCCCCUCUCCUCAGUUUUAGGUGGAUCACUUGGAGGCAGAAGCAGCCAAGGACUGACCCCAGGCACUUUCUGUAGCAAACAAGCUGUGAAUUACGACUUCCCUGGCCCUUCUUCCAGCAGUAUGUGCCUCCUCUCUGACCAGUUUGGAGGUGACUGAAGAAAGGCAAGGGCCAAGAUGCUGCUUGCUUCUGACCCUCCUCCCUGGGGUGGGGCAGGAAAGGAGCCUGGUCAGUGUGCCACAUUUCAUACCCGUGCAGGCAUGGGGAAGCGACUGGCACCUCAGACGUCACAGCCCUCCCUGCAGUGAAGCUGGGCGGGAGGGAAGAGGCCCCAGCCUGGGUUUAGAGUCUAGAGAGGACAUGAUGACUCUGUAAAUGUUCUGUGGGUGGACAGGGAGGGGUAUUCAGUGUUCAAGUGCACACGUCUUUGGCUUUGUUACCAGUUCUGUAUGAUGAGAAAUAAAAGUUCACCGAGGUUUUGUUUUGUA
This is an RNA transcript of Myotis lucifugus (little brown bat), 3683 nucleotides long. It is a transcript of the gene named sestrin 2, with no coding region annotated. The record is from RefSeq and is a predicted model, not a curated record. The transcript is spliced from 10 exons. Lineage: Eukaryota; Metazoa; Chordata; Mammalia; Chiroptera; Vespertilionidae.